Molecule: non-coding RNA, 125 nt
Organism: Hordeum vulgare subsp. vulgare (domesticated barley)
Lineage: Eukaryota; Viridiplantae; Streptophyta; Magnoliopsida; Poales; Poaceae
Source: Rfam
CUUAUACUCUCUCCGUCCGAAAAUACCUGUCCGAAUAAUGAAUGUAUCUAGAUAUAUUUUAGUUCUAGAUACAUUCAUUUCUAUCCAUUUUUGUAACAAGUAAUUCGGGACGGAGGGAGUAUUUA